RNA transcript from Gossypium raimondii (Peruvian cotton), 1488 nucleotides. RefSeq lists it as uncharacterized. NCBI's taxonomy places the organism in Eukaryota, Viridiplantae, Streptophyta, Magnoliopsida, Malvales, Malvaceae. The record is from RefSeq and is a predicted model, not a curated record. The transcript has 4 exons.
UAAAUUUUAAAUUCAAACAGGCUGACGCUACCAAAUAUGUCGAUACUUGGUGAUCAAUCCAAAACCUCUGACCCCCAAAAGAAGAUCCAAAACCCAAAUAAUUUUCCCACACCAUUUCUCUAAAUUCUGCUAUCGAAACAUCAUGAGUUUUCUCGCGGGAAGGCUAGCAGGAAAAGAAGGCGCCUUCUUUUUCCAGGAAUCCAAACAAGCCGUCAACCGUUUGGUCGAGAAAACCCCCAAAAACCUCCCAUCAAACCCACCGUCGCUUGGGCAACAAACUCAAGCUGACGUCCUUCCUGAGGUCCUCAAGCAUUCUUUGCCUUCUAAGAUCUUCAGGCAACCCUCCGAUGCUUCGUCUCUAUCGAGGUCCUCCAAGUGGGCCCUCCAUCCUCAUCCAACCAAUGCCUCCAGUUCUUCCCCUGAUGCCUUGAACCCUCUCAGGGCUUAUGUUUCGCUACCCCAGGUUACUUUUGGCCCCAAAAGGUGGGAGUUGCCAACAACGGAACAUUCAACCAUGGCAUCGACGGCUAAUGAAUUGCGGAAGGACAAAUAUACGCCUCUCAAUCCGGAGAAGUUGAAAGCUGCUGCUGAAGGACUGAAGCGAAUUGGAAUGGCUUUUAUAGUUGCAACUACAAUGGUAUUCGGUGGAGCCGCCUUGAUGUUUGGGAUUGCAGCCUCCAAGUUGGAGUUGCACAGUGUGAGCAUUACUUAUUACACCCUUAUUGAUAACUUUCUCAGCUCUCUGUUUUUUUGGCUUAAAAGUGCGAUGAAAUACAUCGUCAAUUUCUGUUUAUAUGGCUCAAAACCAUUGGAUAUCUAUGGUUGUAGAGUGUUUUAUCACCAUUUUUCCAGUUUCUUUUUUAUUGCCGUUCUUGUCAUAUUUAUAGAGAUUUGUCAUUCUCCACCUGAUGGUUUUUUAGGAACUUGGUCUUAUCAAUGUUAACAAAUUCUGCAAUAGGGUUGGGUUACUCUUUAAUCGUUAUUGAAAUCUGCAUGCUAAUUGGCACGUCUUCAACACUAAUGCAUUUUCCCUCAUCAGUGUGAUGCCAUUAUGUGUUAGUCUGAUGACAUGCUUGUCAAAGUAACAUUUCAGCAUAAAUAAGUUGCUUCCAAACCAAAUCAGGGGCUAAUUUAACACAAUGAUGGAACUGUAAUUCAAUGUUAUUUCAUGCUUUUGAGUAUCCAUAUUCUCCAUGACAUGUUCCAUUUGAGUAUGCUAGUCUUUUCCCAUGUGUAUUUAGUUAGGAAAUGCUCCGAUACAGAGAAAUGUUUUUUUUUCCUUUUUUCUUUUUAUUUUUGUUAUCUUCUGCUUUUGGCAGAGUGAUGAUGUCAGAACAAAAGGAAAAGACCUGGUUCAGCCUAAAUUUGAAAUGAUUAGAGAACAGCUUGUUCCUCUAAGAACUUGGGCCGAAAACACAUCGAAGAAAUGGCACCUGGAAAGGGAGGACGCUAUUAAAGAUAAACCCAUCAUAAAGGAGCUUUCUAAAA